UACGGGGGGAGCAAGCGUUGUUCGGAUUUACUGGGCGUAAAGGGCGCGUAGGCGGCCACCGCAAGUCAGUUGUGAAAUCUCCGGGCUUAACUCGGAAAGGUCAACUGAUACUGCGGGGCUAGAGUGCGGAAGGGGCAACUGGAAUUCUCGGUGUAGCGGUGAAAUGCGUAGAUAUCGAGAGGAACACCUGCGGCGAAGGCGGGUUGCUGGGCCGACACUGACGCUGAGGCGCGAAAGCUAGGGGAGCGAACGGGAUUAGAAACCCCCGUAGUCC
This 274-nucleotide ribosomal RNA is filed under the name uncultured bacterium. Its description in RNAcentral is "partial 16S ribosomal RNA". It matches the Rfam family "Bacterial small subunit ribosomal RNA", at positions 524 to 796 of the family's 1533-position model. The record is from RNAcentral.